CGCAUCUGUGCAUGCAGCAUAUCAAUAAGCGGAGGAAAAGAAACUAACAAGGAUUCCCCUAGUAACGGCGAGUGAAGCGGGAAGAGCUCAAAUUUGAAAUCUUAAAGGGUUUCCCUUUACGAAUUGUAGUUUAAAGAAGUGUUUUCUGUUGAGGUUUUGGUAAAAGUUCUUUGGAAUAGGACAUCAUAGAGGGUGAGAAUCCCGUAUUUGACCUUUACUUUCAACUUUGUGAUACACUUUCAAAGAGUCGGAUUGUUUGGGAAUGCAGUCUAAAAUGGGUGGUAAAUUUCAUCUAAAGCUAAAUAUUGGCGAGAGACCGAUAGCGAACAAGUACCGUGAGGGAAAGAUGAAAAGAACUUUGAAAAGAGAGUUAAACAGUACGUGAAAUUGUCAAAAGGGAAGCGUUUGACACCAGUGUUGUUUUUCUGAAAAUCAAUUAAAGAACUGUUUAUGCUAAGCUGUUUAGACUUUAUCAGCUAUCUGUUUAGUUUUGAGCUUUUCUUUAAUGCACUUUUCAGUUAACAAGUCAACAUCAAUUUCUUUUGCUGUAAAAAAGCUUGAGGAAGGUGGCUUGAGAUUCGUCUUAAGUGUUUAUAGCCUCUUGCCUAUGCAGUCGGAGAGAUUGAGGUCCUGCAGCGUAGAUCCUUCGGGGCUAAAUGCAUUUGUGCUAAGUUAUAGCAUUUUAUAGACAACUUGUUGACUAUGAUUUGUCUUGUAGCUUACUCGCUUAUGUUAUUUUACCUACGCUUAGGAUGUUGGUCGUAGAGCACGCAG
Molecule: ribosomal RNA, 774 nt
Filed under: uncultured Neocallimastigales
Lineage: Eukaryota; Fungi; Neocallimastigomycota; Neocallimastigomycetes; Neocallimastigales
Description: partial large subunit ribosomal RNA
Rfam family: Eukaryotic large subunit ribosomal RNA
Source: RNAcentral